Molecule: signal recognition particle RNA, 264 nt
Filed under: Planctomycetaceae bacterium
Lineage: Bacteria; Pseudomonadati; Planctomycetota; Planctomycetia; Planctomycetales; Planctomycetaceae
Also listed under: 1 other name
Description: signal recognition particle sRNA large type
Rfam family: Bacterial large signal recognition particle RNA
About the family: The signal recognition particle (SRP) is a universally conserved ribonucleoprotein involved in the co-translational targeting of proteins to membranes. Archaeal SRP consists of a 7S RNA and homologues of the eukaryotic SRP19 and SRP54 proteins.
Source: RNAcentral
UCGUGCAGCCGGGGAACUAGCGGUGCCCUGUACCCGCAAUCCGCUUCAGCGGGGGUGAUGCCGAACAGAGGCGCUCGCCUCCGGAGGUCGUGGCUGGGCGGGACGCGAUGACGGCCAUGUCCCAUGCAACGCCGGGACGUGAACCGGGUCAGGUCCGGAAGGAAGCAGCCCUAAGCGGUCCCCCGUCGUGUGCCGUGGGGUCGCGUGGCCCGAGCUUCCCGCCCGAAGCGAUCGACGGGAGCGGCGACGACGGGAGGCGCACGA